RNAcentral lists this long non-coding RNA (442 nucleotides) under Nicotiana tabacum (common tobacco). Its description in RNAcentral is "long non-coding RNA (NTAB_LNC012114)". Lineage: Eukaryota; Viridiplantae; Streptophyta; Magnoliopsida; Solanales; Solanaceae. The record is from RNAcentral.
GCUUACCCUGUUGAAUAUGGAGGGUUGUCCUGUCACUGCAGCGUGCCUGGAGUCUCUUUCAGGUAUUGUCUGUACGAAAUUAGACUGUACGCGAAUAUAGCAUUCCGGGCUGUCAGUUAACUACUUGGCAAUUGUAAUGACUAAAGCCUGUUUGCUAGUCCUAUCGAUGUUAAAAUCUAGUGAUGGGGGUUUUACCAAAUCUGAGAAAUCCUCUACUUCAGAAAAUGCUUGUUUCCUUUGCCACCUUCCCAUUUUUUAAUUUCAGUUUUUGAUGUAUGUUUUUCCUGUUUUUGCAGCUCUUCAUGCUCUGCUAUAUUUAAACCUGAGCAGAUGUUGUUUGACUGAUGAUGGGUGUGAGAAGUUUUCGAGUGAGUUUAUAUUUUUAUUAUUAAUUUAUCGGCUCUUAUGUUCUGACUUGGCACAUCAUUUCAGAUGCAUUGUG